Molecule: ribosomal RNA, 250 nt
Filed under: uncultured bacterium
Lineage: Bacteria
Description: partial 16S ribosomal RNA
Rfam family: Bacterial small subunit ribosomal RNA
Source: RNAcentral
AAGAGAUGGCGACCGGCGCACGGGUGAGUAACACGUAUCCAACCUGCCGAUAACUCCGGAAUAGCCUUUCGAAAGAAAGAUUAAUACCGGAUGGCAUACGAAUAUCGCAUGAUAUUUUUAUUAAAGAAUUUCGGUUAUCGAUGGGGAUGCGUUCCAUUGGUUUGUUGGCGGGGUAACGGCCCACCAAGACUACGAUGGAUAGGGGUUCUGAGAGGAAGGUCCCCCACAUUGGAACUGAGACACGGUCCAA